UCCGGCUUGUCACCGGCAGUGUCUCCAGAGUGCCCAGCUUGACCUGAUGGCAACUGAAGAGAGGGGUUGCGCUCGUUAUGGCACUUAAGCCGACACCUCACGGCACGAGCUGACGACAACCAUGCAGCACCUUCACAGAGGCCCCGAAGGGCGUCAUUAUCUCUAAAUCCUUCCUCUGCAAUUCAAGCCCGGGUAAGGUUCCUCGCGUAUCAUCGAAUUAAACCACAUGUUCCUCCGCUUGUGCGGGCCCCCGUCAAUUCCUUUGAGUUUCACCGUUGCCGGCGUACUCCCCAGGUGGGAUGCUUAAUGCUUUCGCUUAGCCGCUGAUACCAGGUACCAACAGCGGGCAUCCAUCGUUUACUGUGCGGACUAC
RNAcentral lists this unclassified non-coding RNA (373 nucleotides) under uncultured Prevotellaceae bacterium. Its description in RNAcentral is "contains 16S-23S intergenic spacer region". Lineage: Bacteria; Pseudomonadati; Bacteroidota; Bacteroidia; Bacteroidales; Prevotellaceae. The record is from RNAcentral.